GAUUUUUAAGUUAGUAAGUUAUCUUGUUUGUACUCAAUACAGAGAAGAUUAGGAUGGCCCCUGCGCAAGGAUGACACGCAAAAUCGUGAAGCGUUCCACAUUUUU
Small nuclear RNA from Nymphalis io (European peacock), 105 nucleotides. The record is from RefSeq and is a predicted model, not a curated record. Lineage: Eukaryota; Metazoa; Arthropoda; Insecta; Lepidoptera; Nymphalidae.